RNAcentral lists this small nuclear RNA (132 nucleotides) under Oncorhynchus kisutch (coho salmon). RNAcentral's name for it is "U1 spliceosomal RNA (ENSOKIG00005034128.1)". It matches the Rfam family "U1 spliceosomal RNA". Rfam says of the family: U1 is a small nuclear RNA (snRNA) component of the spliceosome (involved in pre-mRNA splicing). The record is from RNAcentral. Lineage: Eukaryota; Metazoa; Chordata; Actinopteri; Salmoniformes; Salmonidae.
AUACUUACCUGGCAAAGGAGAUAAUGUGAUCAGCAAGGCGAUUCUCCCAGCGCAAGGCUCAGCUAAUGUAUUCCAAAUGUGAAAAGAGUAACUGCAUAAAUUGUGAUAGGACUGCAUUCGUUCUGUUUGAUC